UAAAGCAAAAAGAAAUAAACAUCUCAAAUAGAUAAGCAGAAGUUGAACACGACUUUAAGAAAUUCAGAUCACUGAAUCAAAAUUCCAAGGUCCUAGCAUCCACAAUACUCGAGAGCAAGUUUACAAAUCCAUAUAUACACAUAAUUGAAAUUACAAUUUCAAUCAAAUGAGAAAUGCUUUAGCUCAGGCUGGUGAAUUUCCAUUCUUAUCCCAUUUAGUGACGUGCUCUCUUCCUUUGUGUAUAGUCACAUUCAUAGCAAUCUCCAUGUCUUGUUCAUUAGUUAACUAGUAUCGUGUUUCGAAAAUGCAAGACAAAUCUUGAGUACUGGUGACUGAACUUGAUUUAGCACCCGUUUCCUCUUCUUUAAUCCACUCCCAGUAACCACAUUUCACGCUGCAUGUAUUGAAUAAUUUACCUUUGUUGUCGGUGUUCUUCUCUACCUCGAAGCACUUCAAAAAGGCAUAUUUGCACCAUGGGCAGGUUCGUUUGUUCGGGCAUUCCACGUAAAAAUGUCCCUUUAGUCUGCAGCUAUGACAGACUCCAUAAUUGUUUCCUCUCAUUUUAAGUUGGAAAUCAAACACCAAACAAAAUGAUAAGCAUGACAUAUAUAUAAACAAAUGAAAACCUGACGACACAAUCAAAAGUGUCAUGCCUACUAAACAACUAAUAAUUUUUUUUUAUUUUUUUUUUAACAAAACAUGUUUCAAUAAAUAUUUUUCCUUUUUUCCACACACUGCUAUUUCCAAGUUUUACAAAUAUUAAAGAUUUCACUUUAAAAGCUUAUCCAUAACCAACUAAUUUUUGAAAAACGCUUCAAUUGCACAAAUGGUAAAGGAUUAUCGAAACAAAAAUAUUUGCAAAUAACAUGAGCAGAUCAAUAAUUGGGUACAAGUUUUUUCAGACCACGGAUUUAAAACAAAAAAAGAUCUAAAAGUACGGGCUGCUACAAAUUUCACCAAAGUCUUCUACAAUUCCACUCAAAAAGCUAAGUCUUUGUGACUGAAUCUAGUUAAUUUUCACUAUAUAUAUAUAUAUAUAUAUAUAUAUAAUCUUUGUGACUGAAUCUAGUUGUCUAGUUGGAGAAGAUGGACGGUAGCGGCUACAAAUCAACAAAAAGCAGUCGAAUGUCUCAAAAAUGGAAGAUCGAGUAUUUCGACAACAUAAAUUCCAUGGUUUUCGACGGUGUCUCUAUUGAGGAGCUGGAGACGAUGUCCAUCGGCGCUGCACAGAUGAGUUGAUGACUUAGGGAAAUAUGAGAAAUUUGUGAUAUGAAAAGGGUUACGAUUUGGGGUGAAAGGGGUAUGGUUUUUGGGCCGGCC
RNAcentral lists this long non-coding RNA (1320 nucleotides) under Olea europaea subsp. europaea. The record is from RNAcentral. Lineage: Eukaryota; Viridiplantae; Streptophyta; Magnoliopsida; Lamiales; Oleaceae.